UGAAGAGAGAGAAAAGUAGGAAAGAGGAAAAGAGUAAAGUGUGAGAAAAAAGCAAAGAGAGAAGAGAGGAAAAAGAAGAAAGUUUAAGGAAAGAACAAAGAGAAAAAGAACAAAGUGUGGAAAAAGAACAAAGUGUGAAAAUAGCAAAGUAAGAGGAAAGAGGAAAAUAGGAAAGUGUGAAAAUAGCAAAGUGUGAAAAAAGAGGAAAGAGAGUAAAGAGGAAAAAGAACAAAGUGUGAAAAUAGCAAAGUGUGAGAAAAGAGCAAAGUAACAAAGUAUGGAAAAAAAACAAAGUGUGAAAAUAGCAAAGUGUGAGGAAAGAGGAAAAAGAACAAAGUGUGAGGAAAGAGGAAAAAGAACAAAGUGUGAAAAUAGCAAAGUGUGAGAAAAGAGGAAAAAGAACAAAGUGUGAAAAUAGCAAAGUGUGAGAAAAGAGGAAAGUAGAAAAAUAGCAAAGUGUGAGAAAAGAACAAACUCACCUCUAUGGAUGUCAACGUCGUCUUUAAUCGUCCACUGCAGAUCUCGUCUCUCGGCAUGUAAAAGAAACAGAGAAAAUGGCGACAUCAGCAAACAAUCAAAGUCCCAUGUCUUCAAUUUAUGUCAAAGCCAUGAAUGACACAGACAAGUGACCAGGAUAAAGUCCAAACGUGACCCAGAUGCUAAACAGCCAACACCUCAAGGACAGAGUGUGUCAAAGCAAAGAGUUAGACAUGCAAAGAACCCGAACAAAGUGCAAACAUGACAGACAACACAAAACAACCAUCGCUUCUGUCAAUGUGUAUGACUCACCUCUAUGGAUGUCAAUGUCCUCUUUAAUCGUCCACUGCACAUCUCGUCUCUCGACAUGUAAAACAAACAAAGAAAAAGGCAACAUCAGCAAACAAUCAAAGUCCCAUGUCUUCAAUUUAUGUCAAAGCCAUGAAUGACGCAGACAAGUGACCAGGAUUAAGUCCAAAUGUGACCCAGAUGGAAAACAGCCA
Molecule: long non-coding RNA, 980 nt
Organism: Amphiprion ocellaris (clown anemonefish)
Lineage: Eukaryota; Metazoa; Chordata; Actinopteri; Pomacentridae
Source: Ensembl